Molecule: transfer RNA, 73 nt
Filed under: Candidatus Villigracilis propinquus
Lineage: Bacteria; Bacillati; Chloroflexota; Anaerolineae; Anaerolineales; Candidatus Villigracilaceae
Description: tRNA-Cys
Rfam family: tRNA
About the family: Transfer RNA (tRNA) molecules are approximately 80 nucleotides in length.
Source: RNAcentral
GGCGCCGUCGCCAAGUGGGAAGGCAGGGAUUUGCAAAAUCCUUAUUCGCAUGGUUCGAUUCCUGCCGGCGCCU